GAUAAGAAAAAAAUACCCAAACCCAAGUCCGUGAGACACAAGGAAAAGGCAAACAAACAACUCUGUGCCACUUAGUUGUAUUAUGCCACAGUUCUCUUUAACUGUCCUGACUCAGUUUCCUUGUACAAGUUUCCCUUGUCUCAGUCUUCCUAAUUACUUCCCUAAACUGUAAAUCUCUCUCUGGUCCAUGAAGGCUGAGGACCAAUUAGUCUAAGGAUAUAAAUUGUUAACCCAAGCAAGAUAAACAAGAGAGUAGACUUCCUGAUUAUCUUCUGUCCUUGAGAAUUUACAACAUCCCUCUAAAAUAUUCCAAGGUAUUUCACUAACAUCUUUAUCUCUGGGUAUUCAGACAUCCUGUCUCUGGGUUCCUCUUUGAUUCACAGCCUUUUCCAGCUGGGCUUCCUGCUCUUUCCUACUCUUUCUCUCUUCUUUGUCUCCAAAAGGUAUAUAAAGGUUAGAGAUUCUCCAUUCAUUGCUGGAGAAUGGCGGCUGGCGGUGGAUGCUGGACGCUGGAUUCUUUGAGAUGAUAGUCUCCUCCAGACCUGGGACCAACAUGAAUUCCUUGGUCCCAGUAUAUCUUUAUCUCUGUCUGACUGGAUAAUUUGAGACGAGAGUCCUGUCCAGUCAAUCUUACUCUCCCAUUAAUAAAAUAUUAAAAACUCUCUAA
Antechinus flavipes (yellow-footed antechinus) is the source of this 667-nucleotide long non-coding RNA. RefSeq lists it as uncharacterized. Lineage: Eukaryota; Metazoa; Chordata; Mammalia; Dasyuromorphia; Dasyuridae. The transcript is spliced from 2 exons. The record is from RefSeq and is a predicted model, not a curated record.